Molecule: long non-coding RNA, 3884 nt
Organism: Diceros bicornis minor
Lineage: Eukaryota; Metazoa; Chordata; Mammalia; Perissodactyla; Rhinocerotidae
Exons: 3
Source: RefSeq, a predicted model, not a curated record
UCAUUCUGUGUCCAGAGUUUAAUUUUUUACGAGUUCUCUAUGUUAUAAUUUUAUUGAAUUCUCAUUUCAGUCCCUUAUUACCAACCUCAGCAGCGUUUAGCCCAUAAUGUGUCCAUAACCUUGCCGAGGGGUGGUUGGUCUCUGCAGGGUCAUGCUGUGCUCACUGCAGAGGUGGAAUGGGCCUCUGUCCUUGCUGGAAAGAACUCUUCUUGGUAGAUCUAAACUGAAAAUGGCACUUCCAUUCAGUAGAACAUGGGAGCCUUAGUGAAACCAUUAUAAUCUCCUGGGAAACAGAGGCUUAAGGAUUUUAAUCACUUUAUUUCUUGAAUUAUGUGGUUCGUGCCUGUAUGCAUAUAUCAUGAACUCAAUCUUUUUCAACUAAAUUUUACAGCAUUUUAAAAGUCCUGUAUUUAAGAAACCCUUCAAAUAUUGUUGGAAAUUAAAACCCUGGACCAAGUGUACUCCACCUAACUAUUGCAGCCACCGGGGGCUAGCCUGGCCAGUGCGAGGCGGUAUUCUCAGAGGAGAGACUGAGCGGGGUGACCCCUUCAGUCCAUCACACAAUCCGAGGCGGAGAAGAGUCGUUCCUGCGACAUUCACUGCCACCUGUUGAGUAGAGGGCAGUUCACUCUCAGUGAUUUAAAGCAAGAGGUAUCUGCUGCUGUGAGCUCCCGGAAAGUUGUCCAGGUGUGUGCACUGAUGUGGACGCUUUCCCGGUUAACUCUGGUUCAGGACUUAACCUGUUAACCAGUCCUCGUUGUGGUCCUCUGACCUUGCUUCUAAGGGUCACCAACGGGGAGGACUCUUUUCAGGAUCUACAUCAUAAUCACAAUCUCCCUGGAGGUGCUAGGAGAGAAAUUCCAGCUGGUUUGGCAAAGGAUAUUCACCAAAUACACAGAUCUAACUCAUCAGUUAUUUCUCCGACCACACUGAUGUCACCUGAGGUAAAAUGUUUCAUCAUUACCACAGAAACAGCAGCUUCAGUCUGCUGAAGGAACUGUGCUCCCCUCCACUGGGGGAGCCUCAUUCACCCCAGUAUUUCCAGGACUCCAGAUGAUACCAAAUAAAAUAGGUUGGUAAGCACAAGGCUUUUCAUUAUGCAAUGAGAGGAUUAUUUACUGAAUUUUCAAUUUAGCUUUUAAAAGAAGUCUGUGCAUUGCCUUUGCAUGGAAAACGGUGUGCGCCUGGUGAUAGGGAAGUUGAGUGACAUCUGUGCCGUCCCAGGGAAGACGCAGGAGCUAACGCUGGGUGAACACUUAGAAAGCACCAGAAGCUGGACUUUUCUGCUCCCGCAGUCCUCCUCGGAGUCCUGUCAAGCAGAUAUUUUCAGAAGAGUCAGGAGGGAUUUCUGAGCUAGUUUAGCAGGUAAUUUGCCAGCACAGUGUGUGCUGGGCUGACCCCCCGAAGCCCACUGUGUGCCCACAACACACUCCAAAGCAAGUGAGGAACCUGACCGAAGGCCAAUACUUACACUUCAAACUUCUGGAAGAGUGACCAUCUAAUAAACUCUCUGUGACAGUCAGAUUUAAAAUGUGCCCAUUUUCAGGCAGAGUGAUGGGACUUCUGGUGUGGAAGAUACAUCAGUGUCCAAGCUCUCGGAUCAGCCGUUCUAACUAUGUGGUGGAGAAGGGGCAAGCAGCUGGCUGCCUGGUUGACCAGUUCUCCUGACCGCUGUCUGUCUGUCUGUCUGUCUGUCUGUCUCUCUCUCCCCCCUAACUGACAGGCUGUCUGAGUCAGUUACUUUGUUGGAGAGGUUUUUCAGGAAAUUCUGUGGCCUCGUUUUAACUUUCCUAGAAGCAGUGAGGUAAAACCACAUUUAAACAAAAUUAAGACUGACCCGCAAAAGGAAGUGGCCUGUGAUAUUGGGAACCUUUUGUGGGUAGCUGUUAAAACUUAUUGCGAUCUUCCAAAUGUCAGCAGCUCUGACAGCACACAACACCGAGUCUCAAAAGCCCUAACCAACUCAAUGUGACCUUGAAUUAAUUUGGUAACCAAAUAAGCAGGAAAUUGAGAAUACUGAAAUUGAGGAGAGAGCAUUUAGAAAAUGCAUAUUUUGCACUAUAGAUGACAAAGACAAAAUUCAAAAGGUGUUUAGUGACUCUAGUGUUUUUUAAAAAGUAUUUUUAAUUCUAAUUGAAACCCUUGAUGAAGUUUCUGAAUUGUGGAUAAUAUUGAAGAAAUAGUCUGAGUAUUUUGGAUGAGGAAAAAUAUUUUAUCUUUUUUACGAAAGUUGACUAUUAGUGAAGUGUAAAAUGUAAAGCAAACACCUUAUGAUACAUGAACAAUGGCUGGAGAAUUUAAUUUACUUCCAUUAAAUAUAGAAUAUUUCUAUCAACUCAGAAGAAUACGUUUUAAGUUCCAGUUCUUUUUAAGAGUGUGCGGUCCUUGGCAAACUGCUUAAUUUUCCUAUACCUUGUCUCUAUUUUCUCCUCAAUUGAGAAAUAAAAACUCACUCACUAACAGAGCAUUUUCCUAGGCACUGGAAAUGCAAAGUUGAACAAGACUUGUCCCCCCUCAAGGAGCGUCAAUGAAGCGGGGCGUGUGAGCAAAUGCAAUAAGGGUGUGGACAAGGUAGAGCAGGUGGAUGCCAAAUUUAAAUACCCACAGAAAUGAUGGAGUGCCAAGAUGUAAACUUAACAAGAAAUAUGCAAAUCACAUGUGGGAAAACUUUAAAACACUCCUAAAACAACAAAAUUAGACUUGAGCAAAUGGAAAGACAUCCCUCAUCCUUGCUUUGGACAAGUGAAUGUCACAAGGAUGCCAAUUUUCCUUAUGUGAAUAUAAGAAUUUAACAUAAUCCCAAUAAAAAAUAGUAAGUCUUUUUUCUGGAGAUAGUCAAGUUGGUUUUAAAGUUUACAUGUGAAAAUAAACAAAAAGAACAGCUGGGAAACCUGCCAGGAAGGCAGUGAGAAGAAUUGCUAGUCCUGCCAAAUUUGAAACAUACAGUCAAGUCUCAUGAUCCAGUUGGUGUGGUAUGGGAAGGUGCACAGACAGACAGACCCCGGACACACAGAAAGUCCAGAUGCAGAUCCAACUGCGAGAGGAGAUGUAACACAGAGCAAGUCAGGGAAGACUCAUUUUCUAGUCCGGGGGAGAGAGCUGGAGAGCCCUCAGAAGCAGCAGCUGGAUCCACAUCCCACACCUCGUGCUUUGAAUAGACGCCAUGUGGGUCAGAAUUCCAAUGUAAAAAUCAUUCUCUAUGAGUACUAAAUUUUUUUAAAAGGAUAAAUUUCCUUAUAAUCUGGGAGUAGGGAAAGCCCCAUAAAUUCAACUACAUAAAAAUACAGGUGUUUUUGAACAGAAGAAAACAUUGUAGAAAACCUCAAAAAACAAUGACAACUGGGAGAAAAUGUUUGUAACAUAUCACAUAAAAAGGGCUCAUCUCCCUAAUAUGUAAAGAACUCUCAAGAACUUGGAAAGAAAUAAAAAGAAAAACUAUAACAAUGGGCAAAACAAACAAGUUACAUAUAUGGUUAUAAAAACUGAUCCUCAAAUAAAGAGGAAAAUGCUCAUCUUCACCCAUAAUAGAAGAAAGGACCACCCUCUUAACCUUCCUGAAGCUUUAGAGUGGGGUCACUACCUGGCAGGCUAGUCACCCUCAGUUUUUAUUUUUCAGAAAAAAUAGUUAAUCAACCUAAAGAAGCUUGCCUUCUCUGUGAGGGUUCUAACCCGAAUCUUGCUAGGCCAGUCUUUUUAAGUCUUUGUGACUUCCAGGAGUGUUUCCUCAUAAAGUCUUCAAAAUGUUCCCAUUUUAUUUAUUUCUAGGUACUUAACUUUUUUGGUGGCUUUUUAAAAUUGAGGUGUUCUUUUCAUUACAUAUUCUAACUGGUUGUGUUUUGUAAAUAUGAAACCUAUUAAUUUCUAAAUACAAGUUUGGAACCUCA